RNAcentral lists this transfer RNA (68 nucleotides) under Garrulax cineraceus (moustached laughingthrush). Its description in RNAcentral is "tRNA-Phe". It matches the Rfam family "tRNA". Rfam says of the family: Transfer RNA (tRNA) molecules are approximately 80 nucleotides in length. Their secondary structure includes four short double-helical elements and three loops (D, anti-codon, and T loops). Lineage: Eukaryota; Metazoa; Chordata; Aves; Passeriformes; Leiothrichidae. The record is from RNAcentral.
GUCCUUGUAGCUUAUAUAAAGCAUGGCACUGAAGAUGCCAAGAUGGCUGUCAUACCCACCCAAGGACA